GAGUUUAAAUGAAGAGGGGCGCCUUGCAAACCGGGGUGGCGAUCCUACGGACGACUGCAGGCACGCUAAAUCCCUCCAGUCCUGACUCCGGCCGGUAGUGCCAAUACAUUGCUAUAUCAGAACGUGCCGGCGGUAUCAUCAAAGAGUACAACCUAGAUCCCUAGUCGAGGAUCGAUUAGAGUGCAGAGUCUGGUGGCAGCAUCCGCGGUAUGACAGCUCCCAAUAUCGUUUAUGAAAGAUGAAGCAGUCAAAAACAUAGGAGUUGGCAGUCAGUGUGGUGGCUUCAUAAGUCCAAGAAUUUCGUGUGCACUGAAUGAGAUCCGAAUGGUCGCCGACUGUCGGGCUCUAAUCAUUACUUGUGUCGGACUCGGAGUCAAGAUAGGCCAGAGUAGUAAAUUGGAGUGUCCAAAUCAGGCAUUCGCUGCGAAUACAUUAGCAUGGAAUAACAAGAUAGGACUAGUAACCUCGCCGAUUGUGAGUACGGCACAAGUAAGGCCUGAAAGGGGCAGUCGGGGGCAUUGGGGUUCCGUUGUCAGCGCUGAAAAUCGUGGAUCCGGCAAGCCCCACCCGAAAGAAAGCAUUGACCAAGGAUGUUUUCAUUAAUCAAGAACGAAAGUUUGGGGCUGGAAGACGAUUAGAUACCGUCCCAGUCUCAACCAUAAAAUUGAUCGACUAGGGAUCGGCGGGUGUUUUUCAUUCCAAUUACCAGGCCCAAGAUGAGAAAUCAAAGUUUAUGGGUUCCGCGGGGAGUAGUCAGGCAAGGGUAAAAUUUAAACGAAUUGCCGUAAGGGCACCACCAGGCCGGGAGCCAGGCUCCCUCUCCGGAAUAACACCC
Molecule: ribosomal RNA, 835 nt
Filed under: uncultured eukaryote
Lineage: Eukaryota
Description: bacterial SSU rRNA
Rfam family: Eukaryotic small subunit ribosomal RNA
Source: RNAcentral